This 119-nucleotide ribosomal RNA is filed under the name Synopsyllus fonquernii. RNAcentral describes it as "partial 5.8S ribosomal RNA". It matches the Rfam family "5.8S ribosomal RNA", at positions 38 to 154 of the family's 154-position model. Rfam says of the family: 5.8S ribosomal RNA (5.8S rRNA) is a component of the large subunit of the eukaryotic ribosome. It is transcribed by RNA polymerase I as part of the 45S precursor that also contains 18S and 28S rRNA. The record is from RNAcentral. Lineage: Eukaryota; Metazoa; Arthropoda; Insecta; Siphonaptera; Pulicidae.
GAAGAACGCAGCUAAUUGCGCGUCAUCAUGUGAACUGCAGGAUACAUGAACAUUGACAUUUCGAACGCACAUUGCGGUCCUCGGAUACUGUUCCCGGACCACCUCUGGCUGAGGGUCGU